This 465-nucleotide ribosomal RNA is filed under the name Vreelandella stevensii. RNAcentral's name for it is "partial 16S ribosomal RNA". It matches the Rfam family "Bacterial small subunit ribosomal RNA", at positions 338 to 795 of the family's 1533-position model. Lineage: Bacteria; Pseudomonadati; Pseudomonadota; Gammaproteobacteria; Oceanospirillales; Halomonadaceae. The record is from RNAcentral.
CCUACGGGGGGCUGCAGUGGGGAAUAUUGGACAAUGGGGGCAACCCUGAUCCAGCCAUGCCGCGUGUGUGAAGAAGGCCCUCGGGUUGUAAAGCACUUUCAGUGAGGAAGAACGCCUGGUGGUUAAUACCCAUCAGGAAAGACAUCACUCACAGAAGAAGCACCGGCUAACUCCGUGCCAGCAGCCGCGGUAAUACGGAGGGUGCGAGCGUUAAUCGGAAUUACUGGGCGUAAAGCGCGCGUAGGUGGCUUGAUAAGCCGGUUGUGAAAGCCCCGGGCUCAACCUGGGAACGGCAUCCGGAACUGUCAAGCUAGAGUGCAGGAGAGGAAGGUAGAAUUACCGGUGUAGCGGUGAAAUGCGUAGAGAUCGGGAGGAAUACCAGUGGCGAAGGCGGCCUUCUGGACUGACACUGACACUGAGGUGCGAAAGCGUGGGUAGCAAACAGGAUUAGAUACCCUUGUAGUC